CACAGACAAGGAAUUGCAUGUCUGCUAUGAGUUCAGCAAGUACCGAGACUGUCUUAGAAAAUCCUGAUCUCUCUGUACCAUUUCAAAUCAGUGUUUCUGGCUUGGAUUCUCAGAAGAUGGGCGUUCAGUUCAGUUGCUGGAAAGAAGUGCCAUUGUUUGCAACUCACUCUGAAAAAGUGACGCUCUGAAAAGCAACGACCUGUUGCCAGCUCCUGUAAGUUAGCCUAGAAGGAUUUUAAUACAAGAAGAUAGUCCGUGGAGACUGGUUUUUCAUAUGGGCACACCGGUAUCCUUCCCUUUACUAUCUGAGGACAAGAAUGAACUACCAUGGACUCUGCUUGUUUACAGUAUGGCCUGGG
This 359-nucleotide long non-coding RNA is filed under the name Apteryx owenii (little spotted kiwi). Its description in RNAcentral is "lncRNA (ENSAOWG00000013577.1)". Lineage: Eukaryota; Metazoa; Chordata; Aves; Apterygiformes; Apterygidae. The record is from RNAcentral.